Molecule: long non-coding RNA, 449 nt
Filed under: Danio rerio (zebrafish)
Lineage: Eukaryota; Metazoa; Chordata; Actinopteri; Cypriniformes; Danionidae
Description: lncRNA si:ch73-334l12.4 (ENSDARG00000102989.2)
Source: RNAcentral
GCUUAGAUCAGGGGUUCCCAAACUUUUCAGCUCGCGACCCCAAAAAUAAUCAUAUCAGUGGCUCGUGACCCCCAUUUUUCAAGGUGGUUGUACUGUAAAUAUGUAAACGUUGCAGACACAACUAUAGGCAAAUAUAAACAUGAGCUUAUUGACAACACAAAAAUGCAAUAGUCUAUUAGCCAUAUAAUGUUUUUUAAAGUAAUUUAUGGAUUUAAUUACAUUUUGCUUUUAAAAUUAAAGGCUGAUGACUGAUUGUUAUUUUUAUGUUGCUGUUACUUUAAUGCAACUAUUAACUAUAUUCUGUCGGUUAUGAAUAAAAUAUGGUAAUUCUAAUAGUUUAAUAAAAUUUAUUUGAGUUUUGGAUAUCACCAAGCGACCCCUUGUCAUUGUCCCGCGACCCCCCAGGGGGUCCCGACCCCCACUUUGAGAACCACUGGCUUAGAUAACUG